GAUAUCGUCAACUGACAAACACCAACUAGCGUCUCUCGCUGUUGUCACUGCGUUCAGAAAUGAUUUUGGGUCUUCGAAAAAGUCCGUUAGCAUCUCAAUCGUUUUCAGAAGAGGCUAGCAGCUAAGUUAGCUAAGAUCAUGUUGAUGUCCUAAUUACUGCACCCCCUGUCCAAGACAAUCUCCACGGCUAUGAACUCGACUAGUGUGUUUUGAAAUAAGUUGGCCAAUGAGACAUCGUACUGUCCAACUCAAAGUAGAGCCCUGGCCAGGACUAUUUUCCUCACCCCGCCGAAUCUCUGACCAUUACCGCCCGCUCCCGCAACGGAUGUUACACUCCCGUGGGACCCGGCGGUACUCAAUCCCAAUGCAGCCCUCUACCAAGCACAAAGCUAACUUUUGUAAAUUGCACAAAGGACAACAGGAGGGAUCAUGAAAUUUUAUUCUGCAGCCACAGAGAAGUAAAUCAAGAUGCAUGUUUCUGAGCACCUCAAGCACGCGCCGC
Pimephales promelas (fathead minnow) is the source of this 502-nucleotide non-coding RNA. The record is from RefSeq and is a predicted model, not a curated record. Lineage: Eukaryota; Metazoa; Chordata; Actinopteri; Cypriniformes; Leuciscidae.